GGUUAAGCGACUAAGCGUACACGGUGGAUGCCCUGGCAGUCAGAGGCGAUGAAGGACGUGCUAAUCUGCGAUAAGCGUCGGUAAGGUGAUAUGAACCGUUAUAACCGGCGAUUUCCGAAUGGGGAAACCCAGUGUGUUUCGACACACUAUCAUUAACUGAAUCCAUAGGUUAAUGAGGCGAACCGGGGGAACUGAAACAUCUAAGUACCCCGAGGAAAAGAAAUCAACCGAGAUUCCCCCAGUAGCGGCGAGCGAACGGGGAGCAGCCCAGAGCCUGAAUCAGUGUGUGUGUUAGUGGAAGCGUCUGGAAAGGCGCGCGAUACAGGGUGACAGCCCCGUACACAAAAAUGCACAUGCUGUGAGCUCGAUGAGUAGGGCGGGACACGUGGUAUCCUGUCUGAAUAUGGGGGGACCAUCCUCCAAGGCUAAAUACUCCUGACUGACCGAUAGUGAACCAGUACCGUGAGGGAAAGGCGAAAAGAACCCCGGCGAGGGGAGUGAAAAAGAACCUGAAACCGUGUACGUACAAGCAGUGGGAGCCUCUUUAUGGGGUGACUGCGUACCUUUUGUAUAAUGGGUCAGCGACUUAUAUUCUGUAGCAAGGUUAACCGAAUAGGGGAGCCGAAGGGAAACCGAGUCUUAACUGGGCGUUAAGUUGCAGGGUAUAGACCCGAAACCCGGUGAUCUAGCCAUGGGCAGGUUGAAGGUUGGGUAACACUAACUGGAGGACCGAACCGACUAAUGUUGAAAAAUUAGCGGAUGACUUGUGGCUGGGGGUGAAAGGCCAAUCAAACCGGGAGAUAGCUGGUUCUCCCCGAAAGCUAUUUAGGUAGCGCCUCGUGAAUUCAUCUCCGGGGGUAGAGCACUGUUUCGGCAAGGGGGUCAUCCCGACUUACCAACCCGAUGCAAACUGCGAAUACCGGAGAAUGUUAUCACGGGAGACACACGGCGGGUGCUAACGUCCGUCGUGAAGAGGGAAACAACCCAGACCGCCAGCUAAGGUCCCAAAGUCAUGGUUAAGUGGGAAACGAUGUGGGAAGGCCCAGACAGCCAGGAUGUUGGCUUAGAAGCAGCCAUCAUUUAAAGAAAGCGUAAUAGCUCACUGGUCGAGUCGGCCUGCGCGGAAGAUGUAACGGGGCUAAACCAUGCACCGAAGCUGCGGCAGCGACGCUUAUGCGUUGUUGGGUAGGGGAGCGUUCUGUAAGCCUGUGAAGGUGUGCUGUGAGGCAUGCUGGAGGUAUCAGAAGUGCGAAUGCUGACAUAAGUAACGAUAAAGCGGGUGAAAAGCCCGCUCGCCGGAAGACCAAGGGUUCCUGUCCAACGUUAAUCGGGGCAGGGUGAGUCGACCCCUAAGGCGAGGCCGAAAGGCGUAGUCGAUGGGAAACAGGUUAAUAUUCCUGUACUUGGUGUUACUGCGAAGGGGGGACGGAGAAGGCUAUGUUGGCCGGGCGACGGUUGUCCCGGUUUAAGCGUGUAGGCUGGUUUUCCAGGCAAAUCCGGAAAAUCAAGGCUGAGGCGUGAUGACGAGGCACUACGGUGCUGAAGCAACAAAUGCCCUGCUUCCAGGAAAAGCCUCUAAGCAUCAGGUAACAUCAAAUCGUACCCCAAACCGACACAGGUGGUCAGGUAGAGAAUACCAAGGCGCUUGAGAGAACUCGGGUGAAGGAACUAGGCAAAAUGGUGCCGUAACUUCGGGAGAAGGCACGCUGAUAUGUAGGUGAAGUCCCUCGCGGAUGGAGCUGAAAUCAGUCGAAGAUACCAGCUGGCUGCAACUGUUUAUUAAAAACACAGCACUGUGCAAACACGAAAGUGGACGUAUACGGUGUGACGCCUGCCCGGUGCCGGAAGGUUAAUUGAUGGGGUUAGCGCAAGCGAAGCUCUUGAUCGAAGCCCCGGUAAACGGCGGCCGUAACUAUAACGGUCCUAAGGUAGCGAAAUUCCUUGUCGGGUAAGUUCCGACCUGCACGAAUGGCGUAAUGAUGGCCAGGCUGUCUCCACCCGAGACUCAGUGAAAUUGAACUCGCUGUGAAGAUGCAGUGUACCCGCGGCAAGACGGAAAGACCCCGUGAACCUUUACUAUAGCUUGACACUGAACAUUGAGCCUUGAUGUGUAGGAUAGGUGGGAGGCUUUGAAGUGUGGACGCCAGUCUGCAUGGAGCCGACCUUGAAAUACCACCCUUUAAUGUUUGAUGUUCUAACGUUGACCCGUAAUCCGGGUUGCGGACAGUGUCUGGUGGGUAGUUUGACUGGGGCGGUCUCCUCCUAAAGAGUAACGGAGGAGCACGAAGGUUGGCUAAUCCUGGUCGGACAUCAGGAGGUUAGUGCAAUGGCAUAAGCCAGCUUGACUGCGAGCGUGACGGCGCGAGCAGGUGCGAAAGCAGGUCAUAGUGAUCCGGUGGUUCUGAAUGGAAGGGCCAUCGCUCAACGGAUAAAAGGUACUCCGGGGAUAACAGGCUGAUACCGCCCAAGAGUUCAUAUCGACGGCGGUGUUUGGCACCUCGAUGUCGGCUCAUCACAUCCUGGGGCUGAAGUAGGUCCCAAGGGUAUGGCUGUUCGCCAUUUAAAGUGGUACGCGAGCUGGGUUUAGAACGUCGUGAGACAGUUCGGUCCCUAUCUGCCGUGGGCGCUGGAGAACUGAGGGGGGCUGCUCCUAGUACGAGAGGACCGGAGUGGACGCAUCACUGGUGUUCGGGUUGUCAUGCCAAUGGCACUGCCCGGUAGCUAAAUGCGGAAGAGAUAAGUGCUGAAAGCAUCUAAGCACGAAACUUGCCCCGAGAUGAGUUCUCCCUGACCCUUUAAGGGUCCUGAAGGAACGUUGAAGACGACGACGUUGAUAGGCCGGGUGUGUAAGCGCAGCGAUGCGUUGAGCUAACCGGUACUAAUGAACCGUGAGGCUUAACCUU
Molecule: ribosomal RNA, 2903 nt
Filed under: Escherichia coli
Lineage: Bacteria; Pseudomonadati; Pseudomonadota; Gammaproteobacteria; Enterobacterales; Enterobacteriaceae
Description: 23S ribosomal RNA
Rfam family: Bacterial large subunit ribosomal RNA
Source: RNAcentral